RNAcentral lists this non-coding RNA (32 nucleotides) under Homo sapiens (human). The record is from RNAcentral. Lineage: Eukaryota; Metazoa; Chordata; Mammalia; Primates; Hominidae.
UGAGGCCGUUUGAGUUCUGUUGUACUCCAAUA